GAUGAACGCUGGCGGCGUGCCUAACACAUGCAAGUCGAACGGAGAUUACGGACGGAAGUUUUCGGAUGGAAGCCUGUAAUUCUUAGUGGCGGACGGGUGAGUAACGCGUGGGCAACCUGCCCUAUACAGGGGGAUAGCAGCUGGAAACGGCUGGUAAGACCGCAUAAGUCGGUUAAAUCGCAUGAUUUGAUCGGGAAAUGAGCAAUCAGGUAUAGGAUGGGCCCGCGUCCGAUUAGCCAGUUGGCAGGGUAAAAGCCUACCAAAGCGACGAUCGGUAGCCGGACUGAGAGGUAGGACGGCCACAUUGGGACUGAGACACGGCCCAAAAUCCUACGGGAGGCAGCAGUGGGGGAUAUUGCAAAAUGGAGGAAACUCUGAUGCAGCGACGCCGCGUGAGUGAAGAAGUAUUUCGGUAUGUAAAGCUCUAUCAGCAGGGAAGAUGAUGACGGUACCUGACUAAGAAGCCCCGGCUAACUACGUG
RNAcentral lists this ribosomal RNA (481 nucleotides) under uncultured bacterium. Its description in RNAcentral is "partial 16S ribosomal RNA". It matches the Rfam family "Bacterial small subunit ribosomal RNA", at positions 28 to 507 of the family's 1533-position model. The record is from RNAcentral.